AGAACGAACGCUGGCGGCAUGCCUAACACAUGCAAGUCGAACGCUUCCGGGGCUUCGGUCGCGGAGGAGUGGCGCACGGGUGAGUAGCGCGUGGGAACCUGCCCUGUUGUGGGGGAUAACCGAGGGAAACUUCGGCUAAUACCGCAUACGCCCCGGGACUUGGUCUUCGGAUUAGGUCUGGGGGGAAAGAUUGAUCGCAGCAGGAGGGGCCCGCGUCGGAUUAGCUGGUUGGUGGGGUAACGGCUCACCAAGGCGAUGAUCCGUAGCUGGUCUGAGAGGAUGAUCAGCCACACUGGGACUGAGACACGGCCCAGACUCCUACGGGAGGCAGCAGUGGGGAAUAUUGGACAAUGGGGGCAACCCUGAUCCAGCAAUGCCGCGUGAGUGAUGAAGGCCUUAGGGUUGUAAAGCUCUUUCGCCGCGACGAUGAUGACGGUAGCGGGAGAAGAAGCCCGGCUAACUUCGCGCCAGCAGCCGCGGU
RNAcentral lists this ribosomal RNA (481 nucleotides) under uncultured bacterium. Its description in RNAcentral is "SSU rRNA". It matches the Rfam family "Bacterial small subunit ribosomal RNA", at positions 26 to 521 of the family's 1533-position model. The record is from RNAcentral.